GAGCAUUGUGGCCGAGUGGUGAUGCUAGCGACUUUGAUUCGCCAGGUCGUGAGUUCGAGGCCCGCUACUCUCU
Halocaridina rubra (Hawaiian volcano shrimp) is the source of this 73-nucleotide non-coding RNA. The record is from the annotation of a GenBank genome assembly. NCBI's taxonomy places the organism in Eukaryota, Metazoa, Arthropoda, Malacostraca, Decapoda, Atyidae.